RNAcentral lists this ribosomal RNA (496 nucleotides) under uncultured bacterium. RNAcentral's name for it is "partial 16S ribosomal RNA". It matches the Rfam family "Bacterial small subunit ribosomal RNA", at positions 899 to 1397 of the family's 1533-position model. The record is from RNAcentral.
ACUCAAAUGAAUUGACGGGGGCCCGCACAAGCGGUGGAGCAUGUGGUUUAAUUCGACGCAACGCGAAGAACCUUACCUGGGCUCGAAAUGCAGUGGAAAACGGAUGAAAGUCUGGUCCCCGCAAGGGCCGCUGUAUAGGUGCUGCAUGGCUGUCGUCAGCUCGUGUCGUGAGAUGUUGGGUUAAGUCCCGCAACGAGCGCAACCCUUAUCUCUAGUUGCCAUCCCGCAAGGGGGCACUCUAGCGAAACUGCCGGCCACAAGCCGGAGGAAGGUGGGGAUGACGUCAAGUCCUCACGGCCUUUAUGUCCAGGGCUACACACGUGCUACAAUGGGCGGUACAAAGCGUCGCAAACCCGCGAGGGGGAGCCAAUCGCAAAAAGCCGCUCUCAGUUCGGAUUGCAGUCUGCAACUCGACUGCAUGAAGCUGGAAUCGCUAGUAAUCGCGGAUCAGCACGCCGCGGUGAAUACGUUCCCGGGCCUUGUACACACCGCCCGU